Molecule: ribosomal RNA, 245 nt
Filed under: uncultured Hirschia sp.
Lineage: Bacteria; Pseudomonadati; Pseudomonadota; Alphaproteobacteria; Hyphomonadales; Hyphomonadaceae
Description: partial 16S ribosomal RNA
Rfam family: Bacterial small subunit ribosomal RNA
Source: RNAcentral
UACGAAGGGGGCUAGCGUUGUUCGGAAUUACUGGGCGUAAAGCGCACGUAGGCGGGUCUGUAAGUAGGGGGUGAAAUCCCAGGGCUCAACCCUGGAACUGCCUUCUAGACUGCAGGCCUUGAGGUCAGGAGAGGCGAGUGGAAUACCGAGUGUAGAGGUGAAAUUCGUAGAUAUUCGGUGGAACACCAGUGGCGAAGGCGACUCGCUGGACUGAUACUGACGCUGAGGUGCGAAAGCGUGGGGAG